GGAUGUAACAGUGAUCUGGCUGCAACAUCUGUCAUCCCAUUGAUCACCAGGGUUGAUUUGGCUGAUUUGGCUGGCUAGGCGGGUGUCCCCUUCCUCAUGGCUCCGUGCGUGUCCCUCCUGAACCUGCACACUGCAUCAAAGAGGAUGACCUUCUCUGAUAGAGGAGGGCCAUUCAUUGGUCAAGGGUAAUAAGUAGCUGUGCUCCCCUGCUAGAACCUCCAAACAAGCUCUCAAGGACCAUUUAUAGAAGAAUCCAGAGUAGUCAAGCCUCUAAGACUCCAGACACAUCCAAAUGAGGCGCUGCAUGUGGCAGUUUUCCUUUAUUA
Unclassified non-coding RNA from Panthera pardus (leopard), 326 nucleotides. Its record names the gene 7SK. It matches the Rfam family "7SK RNA". From Rfam's summary of the family: 7SK was discovered as an abundant small nuclear RNA in the mid-70s but a possible function has only recently been suggested. The record is from Ensembl. NCBI's taxonomy places the organism in Eukaryota, Metazoa, Chordata, Mammalia, Carnivora, Felidae.